CAACCUAGGUCCCGCCUCUUCCCUUCAGCCAUCCCAGGCGUGGUGAGUAGAUCAUAGAGCCUGUACGUCCGCCCAGGUGCAGGAGCUGCGCAGUUCCCGGCAGGGACUUAACUGUUGCCGGGAGGUUUUUGAGAGAGGCGUUCUUGUGGCGGUGGCGGAAGCAGGACAUCGCGGGCAGCCUCCACCCCGCCCCUACAGUGCCCGUGUCUGACCUGGACCUCGGAUCUGCGAAGUUGAAAAAAUUAUUUUUCCCAAAUCGAGAAGGGGUAGGUCCUGAUGCUGUCCCUGCAGCAGAAUCUUCGCCAUCCUGUACACUCUCCCAAGAGCUACAGAAGAUGAACAUAUCUGAGAAACAUGAUAGGAAUUAGUUCCAAAGGUAUUAUCCACGUCACCUAAUUUUGAAAUCUUCAAAUUGAUGGGAAAUGUGCUUGCACAGACAUCAGUGUCAUUCAUGGCCGUGAUUGUGGAGUUUACCCAGGAGGAGUGGCAGCAUACGAAUCCUGCUCAGAGGACCCUGUACAGACAUGUGGUGCUGGAGAACUACAGCCACCUUGCCUCAUCUGAUAUUACGUGUUUUACAGAUUGAAGUUUUCUGGCAAACGCCUGUGUCAACUACGUCUAUUGCUGCCAGUUUUCCAAUAGCAUUUGCUCACUUCAUGUCUCAUGUGUGAGACUUCGUGUCUCAGAAUUACAUUCUGAUAAUUCUGGCAGUGUUUCAGACUCUUUCAUUAUUGUAUUUGUUUCGGUGAUCUGUGAUCUUUGAUGUUGUAUUGUAAUUGUUUUGGGGCAUCAUGAACUGAGCCCAUAUGAGAUGGCAAGCUUAAUUUAUAAAUGUGUGUGUUCUGACUGCUCAACUUACUGGCCAUUCCCCCAUCUCUCUCCUGCUCUUCAGGCCUCCCUAUUCCCUGAGACACAACAAUAUUGAAAUUAGGCCAAUUAAUAACCCUACAGUGGCCUGUAAGUGUUCAAAUGAAAGGAAGAGUUGCAUGUUUCUUAAUUUAUAUUAUAAGCUAGAAAUAAUCAAUAAGGAAGUUGUGUUGAAAGCCAGGAUAUACCAAAAGCUAGGCCUCUUGCACCAAACAGUCAGCCAAGUUUUGAAUGCAAAGGAAAAGUUCUUGAAAGAGAAUAGAAGUGCUAACUGCAGUGAACACAUGUAUGAUAAGAAAGUGAAACAGCCUGAUUGCUGAUAUAGAGAAAGUUUUAGUGAUCUGGAUAGAAGGUCCAACCAGCCACAACAUUCCCUUAAGCCAAAGCCUAAUCCAGGGCAAGACCCUAACUCUCUUCAAUUCUGUGAAGGCUGAGAGCGGUGAGGAAGCUGCCGAAGAAGAGGUUGAAUCUAGUAUAAUUUGGUUCAUGAGGGUUAUGGAAAGAAGCCGUCUCUGUAAGAUCAGUGUGCAAGGGGGAGCAGCAAGUGCUGCUGGAAAAGAUGCAGCAAGUUAUCCAGAAGAUCUAGCUACAGUAGUUAAUGAAGGUGGCUACACUACACAACAGAGUUUCACUGGAGAUGAAAUAGUCUUCUAUUGGAAUAAGGUGCCAUCUGGGACUUCAAUAGGUAUAGAAGGGAAGUCAAUGCCAGGCUUCAAAGCUUGAAAGGACAGACUGAAUCUCUUGUUAGGGGCUAAUGCAGCUGGUGACUUUAAGUUGAAGCCAUUGCUCAUUUACCAUUCUGGAAAUCCUAGGACCCUUUUGAAUUAUGCUGAUUCUACUUUUCCUGUGGUUUAUAAAUGGAACAACAAAGCCUGGAUGACAGCACAUUUGUUGACAGCAUGGUUUACUGAAUAUUUUAAGCCCAUUGUUAGAACUAUGGCUCAGAACAAAAGAUUCCUUUUAAACUAUGCUCAUUGACAAUGCAGCUGGUCACUCAAGAGCUCUGACGGUGAUGUACAGUGAGAUUAGUGUUGUUUUUAUGCUUGCUAACACAACAUCCAUUCUGCAGCCCAUGCAUCAAGUUUUGACUUUCACGUCUUAUUAUUUAAGAAAUACCUUUUGUAAGGCUAUGGCUGCCAUAGAUCGUGAUUCCUCCAUGGCUCUGGGCAAAGUUAAUUGAAACCCUUCUGAAAAGGAUUGACCAUUCUAGAUGCCAUUAAGAACAGUUGUGAUUCAUGGGAAGAGGUCACAAUAUCAACCUGAACAGGAGUUGGAAGAAGUUGAUUCCAACCCUUAUGGGUGACUUUGAGGGAUACAAAACUUCAUUGAAGGAAGUAACUGCAGAUGUGGUGGAAGAAGCAGAAGAAUCAGAAUUAGAAGUGGAUCCUGAAGGUGUGACUGAACUGCUGCAAUCCCAUGAGAAAAAUUUAAUGAAUGAGGACUUGCUUCUUGAAGGAGCAAAGAAGUGGUUUCUUGAGAUGGAAUCUACUCCUGGUGAAGAUGCUGUGAAGAUCCUUCAAAUGAGAACAAAAGAUUUUAGAAUAUUACACAGAUUUAGUUAAUAAAGUAAUGAGAGGGUUGGAGAGGAUUGACUCUGGUUUUGAAGGAUGUUUUAUGGUUGGUAAAAUGCUGUCAAUUACCUUUGCGUAUUAUGGAGAAAUAAUUCAUGAAAGGAAGAGUCAAUUGAUGUGACCAACUUCAUUGUUGUCUUGUUUUAAGAAACUGCCACAGCCACCCCAGCCUUCAGUAACCACCACCAUUAAUAGCAGCAUCAACACUGAGGCAAGACCCUCUGCCAGCAAGAAGAUUACCGUGCACGGAAGGCUCAAUGAUGGUUAGCAUUUUUAGCAAUAAAGUGUUUUUUAAAUUAAGAUAUGUACAUUGUUUUUUAAGAUAUAAUGCUGUUGCAAACUUAUUAGUCUACUCUGUGUGUAAACACAACUUUUAUAUGUACUGGGAAACCAAUUGUGAAUUGCUUUAUUGUGAUGUUCACAUUUUGCAGUGAUCUGGAACCACACCUGCAGUAUCUCUGAGGUAUGCCUGUAUAUGAAGAAAAAAACAACAACUGCCAAAUGAUUUUAAAGUGCAAGUGUCAUUUAUGUGGGCAUUAGCAACUUAUAGUAGUUCUAGUUGCUCCACAUCCUCACCAUCAUUUUGUGUUGUAAACCUGAUGACUUUUGAUCUUUGUAGUGGGAGUAUGUUUUAUCUACUUGAGUUUUAGUUGCUUUUCCCUUUGACUAAUGUUGCUAGACAACUUUUAUAUGCUGUUUGGCCAUUCAUGUAUAUUUUAUAAAAAGUGUGUUCAUAUCCUCAACCUAUUUGUUUUGUUGAGUUUUUUGUCUUGUUAUAAUUCAAUUGAAAGCGUUCUUUUUACAAUCUGGGUAGAAGACUUUUUAUAAGAUACACCUUUAGGAAUUUUUUUUUCCUUAUCUGUGAUUGCCCUUUUUAUUUGGUAAACAAUAGGACAAAAGGUUUUCAUGUUGAUGAAGUCCACUUUAUUAUUUGCUUUAUUUUCAUAUUCUGUUUUUUCUCCUGUUUAAGAAUAUGACUAAGCAAAGGUCAUUCAGAUUUCCUGUAUUUUUCUUCUAGAAAUUUUCUUGGUUUAGGUUAUAUUUAAGCCUUUGAGUUUUUUAGUUAAUCUCUCUACAUGGUAUGGAAAUAUGGAUUGUUAUUCUUUUUUUUGUAGCUAAAGCUCUAAUUGCUGCACUGGUUAUAUCCUUUCCUAUUCAGUUGCCUUGGCACCUGUUGAAAUAAACUGACUAUAUAUGCUAGGCUUAUUUCUGAAUAUUAUUCUGGUUUAUUUAUCUACAUUUCUAUCUUAAUACUAAUCAUGCACUAUUUUGGUUAAUCUGGCUGUGUAGUAAGUUUUCACAUCAGGAAAGAUAAGUCCUCUUUAAGUUUUUCUUUUGGCUAUUACAGGUUCUUUUUCUUUCUCUGUAAAGUUUAAAAGAAUGUGUUUU
Physeter macrocephalus (sperm whale) is the source of this 3827-nucleotide long non-coding RNA. RefSeq lists it as uncharacterized. The record is from RefSeq and is a predicted model, not a curated record. The transcript has 4 exons. Lineage: Eukaryota; Metazoa; Chordata; Mammalia; Artiodactyla; Physeteridae.